RNA transcript from Telopea speciosissima, 1409 nucleotides. It is a transcript of the gene named transcription termination factor MTERF5, chloroplastic-like, with no coding region annotated. The record is from RefSeq and is a predicted model, not a curated record. NCBI's taxonomy places the organism in Eukaryota, Viridiplantae, Streptophyta, Magnoliopsida, Proteales, Proteaceae. The transcript has 2 exons.
GGAGGAGGUUUGCUUGUUUCUCUGCAAUGAAGAUGGAGCUGAAGCUGACAGCUCUAAAGCAUCCUAUCUUUAGAUCUCUUGCAUCUCCCAUCUAUCGCCUUUCCUUCCCACCUUCUCCCUUCUGUUGCUCAACUUCACCAUCAGAACCAUCAGUUCAGGUUUCAGAAUCUUCCCCAUUCAUGGAGGAUUACUUCAUACGUUCCUUUGGGUGGUCAAGAGAGAAAGCCAUACACGCUUCAAAGCGCCUCCUCCACAUAAAAUCACCCAAAAAGCCCGAUGCCGUCCUUGCCUUCCUCCGCGGCAUCGGCCUCUCUGAAUCCCAACUUUCUGUGGUCAUCAGUCGCCGACCAAUCAUCCUCACUGCCGGUGUAGAAUCUUCCCUCCUUCCCAAGGUCAAGCUUUUCGAGUCUCUCGGUGCUUCCGGCAAAGAACUCGCGGACCUCAUCGCCUCCUCCGCCAGCUGCUUGAGCAACAGCGUCGAUCGUCGUAUUGUUCCCUGCGUUGAUGUCUUACGUGACCUCCUUCAAGAUGACAAGAAGGUUCGGCUCGCUCUCAAGCGAUGUCCCUGGAUCCUCUCCAGUAACCCUGAUAAGGUUUUGCGGAGAAACGUUGGGUUCUUGCUUCAGAAGGGCCUUGAGGGGCCGUCUCUAUCGACGCUUAUCUUUAAGUCUCCUAAUAUUUUGGUUAUGAAAUUGGAGCAGCUGAGCGUGGCUUGUCAGAUUGUGGAGCAAUUUGGGCUAGCUUGUAGUUCUUCACCGGAGGCUUAUGCGAAUGCCCUGCAUGUGGUGACUACCGUCUCCAAAGAGAACCUUUCCAAGAAAUUGGAUAUUUUCAGUACUUACGGGUUUGAGGAAUCUGAUAAGUACGUGUUAUUCAAGUCAUCUCCCGCAGUUUUUAGAUUGAAUGAAGAGAACUUGAAGAGUAAAUUGGAUUUCUUUCUCUCUUCAAUGGAUAAUCCUCGUGAGCUGCUGCUGAAAUGUCCCCUGAUUAUGGGUCUUAGCCUGGAAGAGAGAUUGAUGCCCCGUUAUAGCUGGAUACAAAAUCUGCGUUCAAGGGGUUUGGUUUCAAAAAAGAUUGAUUAUGCAACGGCAUUUUGCAUUAGUGAGGAUAAAUUUGUGAAACGCUAUGUCCACAAAUUUAAGGAUAUAGACGGUUUGGAUCUGCUAGUAGCUUACAAAGAGUUUAGGAAGGAAAGAAGUGGGACUCUUCAAGAAAAUCCUGAAUUGAAAGAAGCAGAAGCAGUCUGAUCUCCAAAAGGCAGUAGGGACUUGGUUUGUUUUCAUUGCAGUUAGGACACAAGUGAUUACUUGUACUUAACAAGCAUGCAGAAAGAAAAGAGGUAUGCCUUUGGCACACCAAAAUUGUAUUUUCUUUUGGAAGGCGAAUGUGAUUAUGUUGCUGCUUUCAAG